RNA transcript from Glycine soja, 870 nucleotides. It is a transcript of the gene named ethylene-responsive transcription factor ERF096-like, with no coding region annotated. The transcript is spliced from 2 exons. The record is from RefSeq and is a predicted model, not a curated record. Lineage: Eukaryota; Viridiplantae; Streptophyta; Magnoliopsida; Fabales; Fabaceae.
CCUACCCCAAUUCCUCUGCACACGUUACUUUAACUUAUGAUUUGAAACUCUUUUAUGUGAGAUUAUAUACACUUCAAAGUGAGUAUCUAGCAAACGUGCAAUAGAAGCAAAGAGAACAUUAUUAGCAUGGACGAAGAGGGUGGUUCAAGAGGAAAAGCCAAUAAGGAUGAAGAUCAAGAGCAUGUUAAGUACAGAGGGGUACGUAGGAGGCCAUGGGGAAAAUUUGCAGCAGAGAUUCGUGACUCAAUGAGACAAGGUCAAAGGUUGUGGCUUGGAACAUUCAACACUGCAGAGGAAGCAGCUAGAGCCUAUGAUAGAGCUGCGUAUGCCAUGAGAGGUCCCUUUGCAGUCCUCAAUUUCCCUAAUGAAUACCCCCCUUUAGCAAUUGGUGCUUCCUCUUCUUCUUCUUCUUCUUCUUCCAAUGCUUCUUCGGCUUCGGCUUCGGCUUCACCCUCUUCAAGUCAUGUGGAAGGAAGUGGAAGGAGUGAGCAAGCAAACCAAGUGAUUGAGUUUGAGUACUUUGAUGACAAGUUGUUGGAGGAGCUUCUUGGUUACGAAGACAAAAAUAAACCUGACAAGUGAAACAUGUUGUUUGCAAAUGUACUCCUAAUAUGUCAAUCUCCACGUGACAGUGAUCAUAUUUUCAAGAAAAUUAAAAACAUAUCAGGGCAAUGAUAUAUGUUUUGGACCAACAAAACAAUUGAGUUACGUUGGACUCUUGCUUUUUCUCCAAAGCUCCAUUUCUUAAAUUUUUUUGUGCUUCAAAUAUGUACCAUUGAAAUGUUAGAUGUUUGAUAGCUAGUUAUAUAAUGGUAGGUUAUUCAAAAUAAAUUAAGCUACUUAAGCUGCUGAGAAAAUGUCUUUUUUGAG